UGGCGCUAAGCACAUGCAAGUCGAACGGCAGCACAGUAAGAGUUUGCUCUUAUGGGUGGCGAGUGGCGGACGGGUGAGGAAUACAUCGGAAUCUACUCUUCGUGGGGGAUAACGUAGGGAAACUUACGCUAAUACCGCAACGACCUACGGGUGAAAGCGGAGGACCUUCGGGCUUCGCGCGGUUGAAUGAGCCGAUGUCGGAUUAGCUUGGCGGGGUAAAGGCCCACCAAGGCGACGAUCCGUAGCUGGUCUGAGAGGAUGAUCAGCCACACUGGAACGGAGACACGGUCCAGACUCCUACGGGAGGCAGCAGUGGGGAAUAUUGCAAUGGGCGCAAGCCUGAUCCAGCCAUGCCGCGUGGGUGUUGUAAAGCCCUUUUGUUGGGAAAGAAAAGCAGUCGGUUAAUACCCGAUUGUUCUGACGGUACCCAAAAAAUAAGCACCGGCUAACUUCGUGCCAGCAGCCGCGGUAAUACGAAGGGUGCAAGCGUUACUCGGAAUUACUGGGCGUAAAGCGUGCGUAGGUGGUGGUUUAAGUCUGUUGUGAAAGCCCUGGGCUCAAACUUGGAAUUGCAGUGGAUACUGGGUCACUAGAGUGUAGCGGAAUUCCCGGUGUAGCAGUGAAAUGCGUAGAGAUCGGGAGGAACAUCGUGGCGAAGGCGGAACAUGACACUGAGGCACGAAAGGUGGGGAGAAACAGGAUUAGAUACCCUGGUAGUCCACGCCCUAAACGAUGCGAACUGGAUGUUGGGUGCAAUUUGGCACGCAGUAUCGAGCUAACGCGGUACGGUCGCAAGACUGAAACUCAAAGGAAUUGACGGGGGCCCGCACAAGCGGUGGAGUAUGUGGUUUAAUUCGAUGCAACGCGAAGAACCUUACCUGGUCUUGACAUCCACGGAACUUUCCAGAGAUGGAUUGGUGCCGGCCUCGAAUGUGCCGACAGGUGCUGCAUGGCUGUCGUCAGCUCGUGUCGUGAGAUGUUGGGUUAAGUCCCGCAACGAGCGCAUUUCUUGUCCUUAGUUGCCAGCACGUAAUGGUGGGAACUCUAAGGAGACCGCCGGUGACAAACCGGAGGAAGGUGGGGAUGACGUCAAGUCAUCAUAACCCUUACGACCAGGGCUACACACGUACUACAAUGGUAGGGACAGAGGGCUGCAAACCCGCGAGGGCAAGCCAAUCCCAGAAACCCUAUCUCAGUCCGGAUGGAGUCUGCAACUCGACUCCAUGAAGUCGGAAUCGCUAGUAAUCGCAGAUCAGCAUUGCUGCGGUGAAU
RNAcentral lists this ribosomal RNA (1272 nucleotides) under Xanthomonas citri pv. punicae. RNAcentral's name for it is "bacterial SSU rRNA". It matches the Rfam family "Bacterial small subunit ribosomal RNA", at positions 40 to 1367 of the family's 1533-position model. Lineage: Bacteria; Pseudomonadati; Pseudomonadota; Gammaproteobacteria; Lysobacterales; Lysobacteraceae. The record is from RNAcentral.